This 1321-nucleotide long non-coding RNA is filed under the name Canis lupus familiaris (dog). RNAcentral's name for it is "lncRNA (ENSCAFG00040012134.1)". Lineage: Eukaryota; Metazoa; Chordata; Mammalia; Carnivora; Canidae. The record is from RNAcentral.
CUAAUCACCAAGGAGAGAAACCUGAAGGCCAGGGGUAGGGUAGGUGGUGGUGGUGGUGGUGGUGGUGGUGGUGUGGUGGUGGUGGUGGCAGUGGACAGCCUCCAAGGGCCAGGGAAGGGAACCAAGGAGCCCAUCCUCUGCAAUCAUAUUUACCAAGUCAAUAAUAACCAUUUACUGCUGAACUGUGUCUGCAAUGGUGCUGAGCACAUGACACGUAUUUUCUCAAUUCCUCACAGCAAUCCUAUUCAUUAGAUAUCAUUAUUUCCCCAUUUACAGACAAGAGGCAAAGAACCCCAGUUCAUCAUUACCAUGUCUGUGGUAGUUAACAGUUGGGUAAUACUUAAUGUAACACAGGCACAUUACAAGCAUUAUCUCACAGAAUCUUCAUGCUUAUUUGAGGAUGUAGGUUUUAUUAUUCCUUAUUUCCAUUAUAUCAUUGAGGAAGCAGAGGCUUAGAGAGGGUGUGUAUCAGUUGUAAGCAUUUACAAUGUAACAAACCAGCCCCAAAGUUAGUGGCUUGAGACAGAAAUCCCUCAUUUUUUUAGCGCAGGGAGGGGACAAUUUGGGCUGGGUUCCCCUGGGCAGUUCUUCUAGUCUCAGCUGGUCCAGGGAGAGCAUCAUGCAUCUGUGGUCAGAUGCUGGCCAGCGAGGGAGCUCUGCUUCAGGGGAUCGGUUGGUCGGAGGCUGCGUUUCAGUUACCUGUAGCCGACUGCGGUAUAGAAGCAGGUGAUCCUCCUGAUGGAUUAUCAGAAAGUCAAAAGUCAUCUACCACUAGGUCGAAAGGCCUGUGUUAUUCACCUCACGUCAUCUCAUCAUACGGCAUUUAAUCAUCUCACAUCAUCACAAGAGAGGUGAGCGAAAGAAAUAAGAUAUUUUGAGAGAGAGACUAUAUUCAUGUAACUUUUAUUACAGUGUAUUGUUACAGUUAUUCUAUUAUAUUAUUGUUGUUCAUCUCUUACUGUGCCCAACUUAUUUUUUAUUUUUUAAAGAUUUAUUUAUUUGAGAGAGAGAGAGAGAGCAUGAGCAUGGGGGGAGGGACAGAGGGAGAGGAGAAUCUCAAGUAGAUUCCCUGCUGAGUCCAAUGCAGGGCUCAAUCUCAUGACCUUGAGAUCAUGACCUGAAAUGGGUUGAAAUCUAGUUGAAAUCUAGAGUGGGAUGCUUAACCGACUGAGUGACCCAGGGCCCCUACUGUGCCUAAUUUAUAAAUUAAACUUUGUCAUGGCUCAGUAUGUACAGAAUAAAUAUAGCACAGAGCUUGGUACUGUGAUUUCAGGCAUCUGCUGGGGGUCUUGGAAUGUAUCCCUCACCAAUAAAGGGGCUA